RNAcentral lists this ribosomal RNA (274 nucleotides) under uncultured bacterium. RNAcentral describes it as "partial 16S ribosomal RNA". It matches the Rfam family "Bacterial small subunit ribosomal RNA", at positions 523 to 796 of the family's 1533-position model. The record is from RNAcentral.
AUACGUAGGCACCAAGCGUUGUUCGGAAUUACUGGGCGUAAAGCGAGUGUAGGCGGUUUGCCAAGUCCGUUGUGAAAUCUCCUGGCUCAACUGGGAGGGUGCGGCGGAAACUGGCAGGCUAGAGUGCGGAAGAGGAGAGUGGAAUUCCUGGUGUAGCGGUGAAAUGCGUAGAUAUCAGGAGGAACACCGGCGGUGAAGACGGCUCUCUGCACCGCUACUGACGCUGAGACUCGAAAGCGUGGGGAGCAAACAGGAUUAGAAACCCCGGUAGUCC